This is a long non-coding RNA of Macaca fascicularis (crab-eating macaque), 1065 nucleotides long. The record is from Ensembl. Lineage: Eukaryota; Metazoa; Chordata; Mammalia; Primates; Cercopithecidae.
GGGCUCCGUUUUCAGCACAGAUCUUGUCAAAUUCAAGCUGUCAACCGCACAGACCCUGAAAGCCAGUCACAGACCCCUGGGGACAGGCGUGUGGCACACGACCUUGAGGGGGCUCUGCUGAGUGUGGGACUGUGGUGAUAAGAGGGACAAAUGAGAGGAAGCCACCUGGGCCAAUUGCUUUGUGCUCACCCACACCGCCCCUUUGUGCUUGUCCUUGAGGGACGUUAGGGCAGCUGCACUGAAUAUAUUUCCUCCUUUCCCCCCUUGGUUGCCGCUCUCCCUUUCCGCCAUCUCUUACAAGGCAUGGGCAAGGAGGCAGUGCACGCAGAUUAAGGACAGACUGGCUCUGCCGCUUAGAAGCUGUGUGUCCUUGGGCAAGUGACUUAACCUCUCUGAAUCUUUUCCCUCAGGUUGUGAUGAAGAUUGCAAGAGGUGAUACACUGCUAAGCACAGGCCGGCAUGUUGUAACUGCUCCAGGAUUAUUCACUAUUAUCAUUUUCAUGGAGGUGCAUGGAGGAGAUGGGACAACUCUUCUUCAAGUCUCUUAGCAUCAUUUGUUAUCAGUCUUUAAUAUUCAUGAGGAUCAUCUGGGGAGCUUCUUAAAAAUGCAAGGGUAAUUAUAAAAUCAUUGGAUGGGGCGUAUGAUUAUGAUUCUGGGAGUGUGAUUCUGAUGUGAAUGAACAUUUGAGAACCACUGCCUGAAAUGUUUUCCUAAAGUAUGAAGGCUGGCGAUGGCUUGUUGGAGAACUCCAAAUUGGAAUUUCAUAUUCAGAUCUAAUCAUUUCAGAUCUAAUCACUAGAAGAGGAAGCACGGACUGGUUCCACCCCAUGGUCAUGACUGAACUAAUCGGAAACUCUCUUGAAUUUGCCACAAUGAACUGAGCACCAAUUAAAAAUUGCCUUGGAAGAAAUACCUACUAAAUUCUAGCCAAGCUGGGCAUCAGCUCCCUGGGCCCUUAGUGACUAUUAUUUGCAAAAAGUGUUCUCACUCCGAUCCAUUUGUUCUCCCUGCCGUUUUAUCCCCUGUAAUAUUCUCUAGAGACCAAUUACUAUUAUCUGAAUGGA